Long non-coding RNA from Nomia melanderi (Alkali bee), 763 nucleotides. RefSeq lists it as uncharacterized. NCBI's taxonomy places the organism in Eukaryota, Metazoa, Arthropoda, Insecta, Hymenoptera, Halictidae. The record is from RefSeq and is a predicted model, not a curated record.
CGAGAGCAGCCGAAUCAGAGGGUCGAACGUUUUCGCGCCUUUAAACGAACGUGCAACUUGGUAUAUAUAUCCAGAAACUGAAAUAUAGUGAGCUGUUUAUAGUGAAAACUCGGUACAACAGAAUCUAUUAAAAGCUUGAAGAUUUUCAAGAAAGUUGUAUAUUUGGAAUUAAAACGAGAAAAGCGUACGGUUGAGAUGUACCGUCUCUCCUGCAUUUUACUGCGUAAAAAUCAGUUUUCACUUUCAAAAUGAUGAAGUUAUAUGGAAAACAGAGAAUCAAGAAUCAAAGCUGCACGAAUUCACGAUCUCGAUCGAGCUACAACCUCCAUUUUUCCGAAAGCUAGAAGUUCUUGGCUCCGCCGUUUCAACGAAACGGUAUCAUGGGCAGCACAUUCAUUUUGUGGAUAAAUAUUUUUGAUUAUUAUUCAUUUUCCCUUACACGCUGAGCAUUGCUCGAUACUAAAUAAAACGUGUAAUUCAAUUACAAAAGUUAAAUGAUCAAAUUAUUAGAGAAAUAAACUGUAAGUUCAGCAUCUUUUAAAAAUAUAAUGUACAAGGUUAUGUUAUUUAAACUUCAGAAAUAAAUUUUAAAGUCUGAAUAUGCACUUAUUUAUCAUUACAUAAGAUUAUUAGAAUAAGCAUAAUAAUUCUAAUUGAGAAAAUACUGUACCACAUACAUUUGACAUGAUUUAACGUAUAAAAUCUAAAUUUAUAAUCAAUGAUAGCAACAGAAACUUAUAUUAGAUAGUUCAGUAAGUAAAAU